Molecule: non-coding RNA, 29 nt
Filed under: Mus musculus (house mouse)
Lineage: Eukaryota; Metazoa; Chordata; Mammalia; Rodentia; Muridae
Source: RNAcentral
UUACAGAGUGUCAGACCAUCAUAUUGGAC